Molecule: ribosomal RNA, 253 nt
Filed under: uncultured bacterium
Lineage: Bacteria
Description: partial 16S ribosomal RNA
Rfam family: Bacterial small subunit ribosomal RNA
Source: RNAcentral
UACGGGGGGAGCGAGCGUUGUUCGGAAUCACUGGGCGUAAAGCGUGCGCAGGCGGUUUUGUAAGUCAGGAGUGAAAUCCCGGGGCUCAACCUCGGAAUUGCUUUUGAAACUACAUGACUAGAGUAUGGUAGAGGUUGGGAGAAUUCCUAGUGUAGAGGUGAAAUUCGUAGAUAUUAGGAGGAAUACCAGUGGCGUAGGCGCCCAACUGGACCAUUACUGACGCUUAGGCACGAAAGCGUGGGGAGCAAACAGG